This 3613-nucleotide long non-coding RNA is filed under the name Manihot esculenta (cassava). RNAcentral's name for it is "long non-coding RNA (MESC_LNC005120)". The record is from RNAcentral. Lineage: Eukaryota; Viridiplantae; Streptophyta; Magnoliopsida; Malpighiales; Euphorbiaceae.
CAAAGCUGCCUCGAUAUGCACCAAUCACGUAUAUUCUCAAGCCAUCUAUAGUGUUUUGCAGCCAUAUGAAUGCCGAAACAAAUCAGGUCAAUAAACAGAAUGAAAUGACACAACAUAAACAAACUUUCGGCAAGAAAAUUUUCAAAAUUUGUCACAACUUUUUUUCUUAAAAGAGAAAAAGAUGAUGUACCCAAUUACACAAAGGCUCUGGGACCAUAUCCUAAACUAUUGAAGAAGUCAAAAUUAAUAAUAAUAAACAUCUGCUUGGGGAAACACACUAGUCUAUUUGGAAUUGUUGUUCGACAAGUUGAGAAAAGGACCACUUUAAAUAUGUCAAUUAGAAGAAACUAUUAUUAGAGACCUGCAAUUGAUUCAACUCGAUUCAAUUCCCCAUCCCGGCAAUUUGAACGGGUUAAUCACAAAUAUACCUAAAUCAUAACUGAAUCAAGAGAAUCAAUAGUAAAUCCUGUGAGUAAUGCAGUGACCCCGCUAAAGUUGUGCCCCGAUAUGCACCAAUCACGUUAUAUUCUCAAGCCAUCUGUAGUGUUUUACGGCCAUAUGAAUGCUGAUACAAUCAGGUCAGUAAUCAGAAUGAAAUGACACAAUGCAAACAAACUAUUGGCAAGGAAAUUUCCCAGAUUUGCCACAACCUUUUUCUUCUUAAAAGUAAAAAAGAUAAUCUACUCAAUUAUACAAAGGCUCUGAGCCCAUAUAUCCUAAACUAUUGGGGAACUCAAGACUAGUCAAUAGUUUAAUGAACAUCAGCUAGGAGCACACCAGUCUAUUUGGCAUUGUUGGACAAGUUGAGAAAAGCACCACUUUUAAGUCAAUUAGAAGCACUGCUAUUAGAAUCCUAUGAUCAAUUCAACUCAAUUCAUUCACCGUCUAGCAAUUUGAAUCUAUAGGCUGAACCGCAAGUACACCAGAGUCAUAACGGAAUCAAAAGAAUCAAUACGAAUCAACCAAUUACGUCUAUUACUUUUCUAGAGAGCCCAUAUAGCUUCAACGUUUAAGAUUUUACUUCAUUUUUACUAUGGAAAAUGUGCAUAAAAUCUUCCAUUAGCUAUUUUUCUUCCAUAAGACAUUCUUUUUCCUCUCCCUACUCUUUCUUUUUUUUCUGUUAUUUUUUUUUUUAGUAAAUUUACUUCUCUAAUUAAUAGUUGUCAAAUUAAUACAUUUUAAUAUUUUAUAUUAAUAUAUUUUGACAUUUUAAUUUAACCAACCAUCCUUUUUUUUUAUUAUUGAAUCAAAUUUAAAUGUGUAUUUCAACAUAUGCACAAAUAUAACCAUCGUCUAUCAUUCAGGAGGCCAUCAGUUAUAACCAUGGUUUUAAAUCGCAGUCGAGGCCACGUUCGCAGUCGAGGGAAGGCAUUCAGUUAAUCAAGUAACAGGCUGUGAGGACAGCUUCCCCCCAAAAUCGCAGCAGAACAUUGUGAUAUAGGAGUAAAGUAUGGGCUAUUUCAAUUAAAUGCUGAUUUUUUCGCUCGGCAACCCCAUUUUGUUGUGAGGUAUAAGAGCAAGAAGUUUGGUGAGUAAUACCCUGAGUAGACAAGAAAUGAGUGAAUGAGAAAGACAAAUAUUCUCUUGCAUUAUCACUUCACAGUACCUUAAUGCGAACACCAAAUUGAUUAUGGAUUUUAGCAUAAAACUUUUGAAAAAUAGAGAACAACUCAUAACGAUUCUUCAUCAGAAAAAGCCAAAUGCAACGAGAAUAGUCAUCAAUAAAGAUAACAAAAUAUUAAAAUCUCAGAGUUGUACUAACUCGACUUUGACCCCAAAUAUCUGAAUGAACGAUGUCAAACAUAGAAGUGGCUCUAUUAUUGAUUCGUUUGGGAAAAGAAGCUCGAGUUUGCUUCCCGAGUUGACAAAAUUCACAUUCUAAAGAAGGCAAGAACGAGAGGCUAGCAACCAGUUUUUGUAACUUGUUCAGACUUGGAAUUCAGCGGAGGUGAAAGACACAAAAGCAAUUAGAGAGUUAUUCUUGUAACUCAUAUACUGCUCCAAUCAUCUUCCCAGUAUUCCGGUCCUACACAACCACAGAUUCAGCAGUAAAGAGUAGAGAAAAGAGAGGAAUAGCCAGCGCCAGGUGAUGCUGGAGGAAGAGUCACCAGCAUGAAAUGAUCGCCGGAGGAUGGUGCACGCAAUCAUAUCCCAAUUAUAGCUUAAUCAUAUCACAAUCAUAUCACACAAUCAUAUCCCCAAUUAUUACUACAAAUCUAGGCUAUUUACAGAAAUAAUCUCAACACAAGACAUCUUAUAUGUUUCUCAUAUUCAAAUUGACAUGUUGUAGUCAUCCACAAAUCCUACUCUAGAAAUAGAAAUACUCGCAUUAAUAGCAUGCUUGAUCCCAGCAUUGAAUAGGCUGGUGAAUAAGAAUAUUUGUCCAUCUAUUAUGGAAAUUACAUUAGUAGGAAUAUAAGAUGAAAAUCUCCUAAUUGGGUCUCGACUAUUGGUAAAGCAGUCAUAUUUAAACUAAAUAAAAACUUAAUUUAGCAGCUCUUCUCAAAAGGCAUAAAUGCAAACAAAAAUAUCUACCAUACAAGCUUCAUGAUCGGGUGGUAAUAGCAGUAGAAGAGACAUUUGACAAUAAACCUGCACCUGGGUAAAUCAACACUUCCUUCUGUUGUGGAGUAGGUAUCAGGGAUCAUCUUCUCUUCUUCUCCUUCAAAUCAAAAUCCUCCUAACACAAAAAGGACUUGUUUGGAGAGAUCGACCACUCCAAAACAUCUAAAAUAUUUUUCCAAAAACAUUUGAAAAGGGGCUUUCAAAAAGUUUGUUUCGACCUCAAUCACAAAUAGGUUUACCAAUCCACCAACAAACAAGCACAUGUAAGAUAGCAGUGCUAAGUGAAUACAUUUCUUCACUCUGUUAAGAAAUAUAGACUAGCUGUCUAGAAUAUUCUUCUUUCACUGAUCAAACUAGCAUCUCACAAUCCUAAGGAGCACACCCAUUCCUGAAGUUUCUAAUAUUUGGUUGGACUCAAGAAAGAUCUAGGUGUUAGGCAAUUGUUUAAAGUAUAAGCAACACACACCAAAAAAUACUAUAAAGCGCAUAGGGGAACAAUUGGGUCGACCUUAGUCUAGGUGUAGUAUAAUUGUACUAGUACUAUUUAAUGGAGUACACCGUGGAGUUUAAUGUGCGCAAGCAAUUUUUAAUGUUUGAGGGCUUAAUGAGCUUCGUACCUAGAGUUUUCUAAGGAUGCACAAUAAUUAGGUAGGUAUGCAGCACAUAUAAGGUGCCAGUGAAUUAUCAUUCCGUCACAUUUGCAAUGUGAUCCUUAGUAGUGCUCAAUCUAGCUCAUAGGCAACAUCAAUACUCAAAAAUUUCAUGCAUAAGGUAUCUUUCGGUGACAAACUAUUACUCAAUUCCAGAGAAUAAAAUAAAUUAUUGCACCAUGCAACUCAUUGAGCUCAUGCAUCCAAUUUCAUUUUAUAAGUAAUAUGUAGAUAGAUGAAAUAAGAGAACCUUUUCCACUCGGCCAAAUAUUGCUUUGGAAAGAAUUCAAGCUUUGGAUUUUCACCAUCAAUUGCUGCAUCAAGAGCUUGCUUUGCCAUACUACUGCAAUUAACAUACCACUGUGGCUUUAUCAUUGGCUCCACAACAUCAUUGGUUC